CUACGGGAGGCUCCAGUGGGGAAUAUUGGACAAUGGGGGAAACCCUGAUCCAGCAAUGCCGCGUGUGUGAAGAAGGCCUGCGGGUUGUAAAGCACUUUCGGUUGGGAGGACUGCUUCUAGCACUAAUAUUGUUGGAAGUUGACGUUACCUUCAGAAGAAGCACCGGCUAACUCCGUGCCAGCAGCCGCGUGUAAUACGGAGGGUGCAAGCGUUAAUCGGAAUUACUGGGCGUAAAGCGCGCGUAGGCGGCUAGAUCAGUCGGGUGUGAAAGCCCCGGGCUUAACCUGGGAACUGCAUCCGAUACUGUCUAGCUUGAGUACAGGAGAGGAGAGUGGAAUUCCACAUGUAGCGGUGAAAUGCGUAGAUAUGUGGAGGAACACCAAUGGCGAAGGCAGCUCUCUGGCCUGAUACUGACGCUGAGGUGCGAAAGCGUGGGGAGCAAACAGGAUUAGAUACCCCGGUAGUC
RNAcentral lists this ribosomal RNA (466 nucleotides) under uncultured bacterium. RNAcentral's name for it is "partial 16S ribosomal RNA". It matches the Rfam family "Bacterial small subunit ribosomal RNA", at positions 339 to 795 of the family's 1533-position model. The record is from RNAcentral.